Oxyura jamaicensis (ruddy duck) is the source of this 205-nucleotide long non-coding RNA. RefSeq lists it as uncharacterized. The transcript has 3 exons. NCBI's taxonomy places the organism in Eukaryota, Metazoa, Chordata, Aves, Anseriformes, Anatidae. The record is from RefSeq and is a predicted model, not a curated record.
GGAUUUAAGGGCAUCUUUCAACCCCUUUCUCCAUAUAUAAUCUCUCCAAAAGGAAUUUAAGGCCAUCCACAACCCCUUUUUCCCCUAUAAGGGGCAUUUAAGGGAUUCUGCAAUGCCUUUGUCCCUAUAAAAUCUUUCCAAGGGGGAUUUCAUGGGAUCCACAACCCUCCAAGGUCUUCCCCCAAGGGGGAUUUAAGAGCAUCCA